This is a long non-coding RNA of Girardinichthys multiradiatus, 2061 nucleotides long. RefSeq lists it as uncharacterized. Lineage: Eukaryota; Metazoa; Chordata; Actinopteri; Cyprinodontiformes; Goodeidae. The record is from RefSeq and is a predicted model, not a curated record. The transcript has 2 exons.
GCCAGAAACUUUGCAUGAUUUUUGCUAUGAAGAACUUUUGAAGGAUUUUUCUGUGUUAACUCUAACUUCCCUGUUACUUGUUCCAGGUGCAAUUUCAGCCUGACCUGUUCCAGUCCUCUGUAGUGGCUCUGGUUACUUCCUGGAUUUUGACUGUACCUGGCAAGUGGGGCUUCUUUCCUGACACUUAUUCUCUCCCUGGCAGUUUUCCUGGAUUCUCCAUGGUGAAAGAUUAGACUUGCCGCUUCUGUUGUGCCUGACCAAGUUUUGCAAUAAACCUUCUUUAUUUAACAAGUUUUCUGAGAGUCUCUGCAUGUGGGUUAAGUCGGCUGUAAAAAUCAUGACACUUCCUGUAAAUCAUGAUUUAAAACAUUAGCCCCAUUUACUAAAAAAGUGUGGUCAUCUUUAAAGCAGCAUCCAUUUAUCUUUUGGCCAUAUUGAAAAACUACCUUCUAUCACAUUGUUUCCUGCUGAGGGCACAAUGUGCUGGUAAAGACAGGUUUAAUCUGUGAGACAUGGAAGGUUGGAUGGAUUCGGAGGUUGGAUGGCAGACGGAGACGGACUGCAUCGGGGCCUAUGAUUGAAUGGAUUUCAAAUCGUGGGACCAGUUUCUUGGACAAGGAUUUCAAUGGGAUGUCACGGUAGGAGAGCCAAACCUUUUGACCUGGGGAGUACUGAGGAGCUGGUCUGUUUCCUGUCAGCAUAUUUUUGGUUUUGUGCGGCAGUGUGAUGAAGCGCUCUGAUUGUAUUUGACCAGAUGUGCUUACAAUGGCCGAUGCAAUGGUGGAAAAAAGUGACUGAGAUGUCUCUCUCGUCUGAAGGAAAAAGUGGUGGUGGGUAACCCAGAGAAGCUUCAAAGGGGAACAGACCUGCUGCUGUGUAGGUGUGUGAAUUGUGAGCAUCCUCUACCCAGGGUAGAAAGUUAUUCCUGUCAGAUGGAUUGGUGGAUGUGAGACAUCUGAGAGUAGCUUCCAAUUCUUGGUUUAUUCGUUCUGUUUGGCCGGAUGAUAACGAGAUGUGAGAGAAACUUUUGCGUUGAGUGCUGAAUAAAACUGUUUUCAAACCUGAUAGUAUAAUUCUGUAUAAGCAUGUUUAAAAAGCAAUGUCUGACUUUCAUUUGUUCAUUUACAUAUAAUUUUUAUUAAUUAUUACCUUUGUCAGAUUCAAGUUAUUUCUGUGACCAUUGUGGGUUUUUCUUUCAUUAAUUGAGGGGUACCAACAAUUUUGUCCACGUGUGUAAGUGCUUUGCGCACAGUGGAACCUCUUGCAAAACCCAAGAGGCCACCAGGACAUGUGUAAAGGGCUGCAAUUUGACUCCACUUCUCUGUUAACUUGAAAAGAAUUACCCAUUCCUAACUGUUAAACACAAGACAUUCAUAAUAAAAAAUAUUCAUGCACUAGUUAGAAUGAUUUUACUGAUAUCUUUAAGUAUUUUGUCUACUCAAAAUGUCCCAGAUUUACAUGCCAUUUUAGCCUUACUUGUGUUUGCUAGUCAGUGGUCUCCAAUGUCAGGCCAGUUGAACUCAAAUUCUUGCAUUUUUAAUGAUUUUUAGUGCUGUAGCUGUUUAUUUUAUUUUAACAGUGUGCAAGUUUUAACAGCAAAAUAUUCUUCAACAAAUAUACAUUGCAUACACUUGAGGUGGAUUUUAAGCUAUUUUAGGAUUUUAAGGGACAUUUUGUUUUGACAAAAACCUGGCAUUGAACAGAGUAGGAGCAAUUUGAUAUUAAUUGCCAAGUUUGUUUUUUGUACUGUUAUCUCUAACACUAAAGGUAAACAUUAGUUAAGUUCCUUUACGUCUUAAGCCACAAGGAGGCAGUGUGAGCAUGUUUUUUUGUAUAGUCCCUGCCAGGGGAAAGGCACAAGAAUAGAGCAUGUCAUGGUGUUAGGAGCUGCACUUUUUCUGACUGCAGUCCUUAGUAGUUUGCCUCAGUUUAAAAAUAGUCACUUAUAAAGGAAAGAAAAUAAAUGGACAUGUUAAACUUUGAGUAACUCCAUGUUUUGUUUUUGUUUUUUUGUUUUAUGCUUUAUUAAUGAAGCAUGUCAAAGGAUAUGCAUAUCACACA